GAUGAACGCUGGCGGCGUGCUUAACACAUGCAAGUCGAACGAUGAAGCCCAGCUUGCUGGGUGGAUUAGUGGCGAACGGGUGAGUAACACGUGAGUAACCUGCCCUUAACUCUGGGAUAAGCCUGGGAAACUGGGUCUAAUACCGGAUAGGAGCGUCCACCGCAUGGUGGGUGUUGGAAAGAUUUAUCGGUUUUGGAUGGAUUCGCGGCCUAUCAGCUUGUUGGUGAGGUACUGGCACACCAAGGCGACGACGGGUAGCCGGCCUGAGAGGGGGAACAGCCACCAGAGGACUAAGAGACGGCCCAGACUCCUAUGGGAGGCAGCAGUGGGGAAUAUUGCACAAUGGGCGCAAGCCUGAUGCAGCGGCGCCGCGUGAGGGAUGACGGCCUUCGGGUGGUAAACCUCUUUCAGUAGAGAAGAAGCGAAAGUGACGGUACCUGCAGAAGAAGCACCGGCUAACUACGUG
RNAcentral lists this ribosomal RNA (466 nucleotides) under uncultured bacterium. Its description in RNAcentral is "partial 16S ribosomal RNA". It matches the Rfam family "Bacterial small subunit ribosomal RNA", at positions 28 to 507 of the family's 1533-position model. The record is from RNAcentral.